Molecule: ribosomal RNA, 252 nt
Filed under: uncultured bacterium
Lineage: Bacteria
Description: partial 16S ribosomal RNA
Rfam family: Bacterial small subunit ribosomal RNA
Source: RNAcentral
GCAAGUCGAGGGGCUGCAUAGUUCGCUUGCGAACUGAUGGCGACCGGCGCACGGGUGCGUAACGCGUAUGCAACUUACCCUGAACUGGGGGAUAGCCAGUGGAAACACUGAUUAAUACCCCAUAGUACUACAGAUUGGCAUCAUGAAGUAGUUAAAGAAUUUCGGUUCAGGAUGGGCAUGCGUAAGAUUAGCUUGUUGGUGAGGUAACGGCUCACCAAGGCAACGAUCUUUAGGGGUUCUGAGAGGAAGAUC